UAGAGUUUGAUCCUGGCUCAGAUUGAACGGCUGGCGGCAUGGCUAAAACAUGCAAGUCGAACGAACCCGCAAGGGUGAGUGGCGAAAGGGUUAGUAAUACGAUCGAACGUGCCCUGAGGUGGGGGAUAGCGUUGGGAAACUGACGGUAAUACCCCAUGAUCUCGGAAGAGCAAAGGUUUACCGCCUUGGGAUCGGCGAUCGUCCUAUCAGGUAGUUGGCGGGGUAAUGGCCCACCGAGCCUUAGACGGGUAGCGGGUGUGAGAGCACGACCCGCAACAUCGGGACUGAGACACUGCCCGGACUCCUACGGGAGGCUGCAGUAACGAAUCUUCCGCAAUGGGCGAAAGCCUGACGGAGCAAUGCCGCGUGUGGGAUGAAGCGUCUCUGACGGUGUAAACCACGUGUCAGGGGGUAGAA
RNAcentral lists this ribosomal RNA (417 nucleotides) under uncultured bacterium. RNAcentral's name for it is "bacterial SSU rRNA". It matches the Rfam family "Bacterial small subunit ribosomal RNA", at positions 1 to 449 of the family's 1533-position model. The record is from RNAcentral.